This is a long non-coding RNA of Gymnodraco acuticeps, 1176 nucleotides long. RefSeq lists it as uncharacterized. The record is from RefSeq and is a predicted model, not a curated record. The transcript is spliced from 3 exons. Lineage: Eukaryota; Metazoa; Chordata; Actinopteri; Perciformes; Bathydraconidae.
UAGCGUUCCUGUUGCUAUGUACAGUAUAUAGCAACAUACAUCUUUUGUAAUUUUUGAAUAAAUAUUUGAAGUUUUUCAGAAAACUUCAGGAUUUAGAAGGCGUUUUUAGAAUCGGCCUCAGGUCUAAAUGGGUUCAUCCAAUAGUAUACACAGGACAUGCUGUAUAAAGCCCACUUCUUUUCAGAAGUAGUAGAGUUGGUGCAUAUAAUUCUUGUGCACAUACAGUAGCUUGUGCACAUUAUGUUAUGCAUUGUCACUACUCGUGAGUUUGGAUUCCUACAGGCUAAAUCUUGGUCAUGCUUUUAUUAACCUUGCUUCUUUAAGUAUUGGAGCUCAGCCAUCAUAGGUCUUGUCAACUUGCCCUGAAUUAUGUCAAUAUCUUUAUUUGUCCUGGAUUUCAAACUGCAUCACUUUAUGGUCAGGAAAAUGUACUUUUUUACUAUGCACUAGGAAUAGUGAGUAUAUUGUCUAAAUGACCAUGUUUCUCAAUUUGUCUCCAUCUUUUAGAUUGCACAAGAUGUUUCGAUCCUCUUCGCAGAGCCUGCACCUAAACUCUUGGAAACGUGGGUUCCUCUUUACGCUGACCAGAUCAUUCGUCUGGCGAAACGCGAAGGGAAACUCGCAUUGCCAGAGGAACAGAUCAAUCUGGGUGCCAGGGGAGAAGUAGCCCUGAUGCUGCUGCCUGUCAUGCUCCCUCUGCCUGUAUAUAAACAGGGCAAAAAUUGGUCCGCGCCAGUGUGGAAGAAUCUAAAUCAUUCUUCAUUGAUGUUAAGCCCGUCGGAACUAACAUGGUGGAGUAUUUGGAGCAAGCCAAAUCGUCCAGGUCGUGCCCGUUCGUGCUACUGCUUCAGGAUGGGAUGCUGUGCUCUCAAGCCUUUGUUGUUAUCUCAGGCAAGGCUAUUGAGACUGGGCUCUCGCAGCUGCUGUGGAUACCUGUUUCAAGAGUUUUUAUGUCUUUGACAUAAACUAUACAAAUCAGUGUUUGCCUACUUGGCAAUUCUUCCAGGAUGUUGUUUAUGAACUCGAGGGAACUGUUUCCCCAGCAGUGAAGUUCCUGAAAAUGCAAAUACAUGCUUGUAACUAGACUGGCCUGCAUCCCCCCCACCCAUCUCUUCCUUUCUCUCUCCUCUCCCUCUUGUUCCACAUCUCCUAGUAUCAAUAACCCUUGUGUGAGGA